UGGGGAAUAUUGGACAAUGGGCGAAAGCCUGAUCCAGCCAUGCCGCGUGUGUGAAGCAGGUCUUCGGAUUGUAAAGCACUUUAAGUUGGGAGGAAGGGCAUUAACCUAAUACGUUAGUGUUUUGACGUUCCCGACAGAAUAAGCACCGGCUAACUCUGUGCCGGCAGCCGCGGUAAUACAGAGGGUGCAAGCGUUAAUCGGAAUUACUGGGCGUAAAUCGCGCGUAGGUGGUUUGUUAAGUUGGAUGUGAAAUCCCCGGGCUCAACCUGGGAACUGCAUUCAAAACUGACUGACUAGAGUAUGGUAGAGGGUGGUGGAAUUUCCUGUGUAGCGGUGAAAUGCGUAGAUAUAGGAAGGAACACCAGUGGCGAAGGCGACCACCUGGACUAAUACUGACACUGAGGUGCGAAAGCGUGGGGAGCAAACA
This 427-nucleotide ribosomal RNA is filed under the name uncultured bacterium. RNAcentral's name for it is "partial 16S ribosomal RNA". It matches the Rfam family "Bacterial small subunit ribosomal RNA", at positions 355 to 774 of the family's 1533-position model. The record is from RNAcentral.